Molecule: ribosomal RNA, 216 nt
Filed under: Parabacteroides distasonis
Lineage: Bacteria; Pseudomonadati; Bacteroidota; Bacteroidia; Bacteroidales; Tannerellaceae
Description: partial 16S ribosomal RNA
Rfam family: Bacterial small subunit ribosomal RNA
Source: RNAcentral
ACGAAGAGUUUGAUCCUGGCUCAGGAUGAACGCUAGCGACAGGCUUAACACAUGCAAGUCGAGGGGCAGCACAGGUAGCAAUACCGGGUGGCGACCGGCGCACGGGUGAGUAACGCGUAUGCAACUUACCUAUCAGAGGGGGAUAACCCGGCGAAAGUCGGACUAAUACCGCAUGAAGCAGGGGCCCCGCAUGGGGAUAUUUGCUAAAGAUUCAUC